Homo sapiens (human) is the source of this 414-nucleotide long non-coding RNA. NCBI's taxonomy places the organism in Eukaryota, Metazoa, Chordata, Mammalia, Primates, Hominidae. The record is from Ensembl.
AGGAAAAACAGAGAAUGUAGCUUUCAGGAUUCACAGCAGAAAUACUGUAAAUGUGAGUGUGUUCCAUUUGCAUGUGUUUAAGCAAUGUUGAAGGAAGACGUCACAGACAGAUGAAGCUCAGCUAAAUCUCUUUAUGCCACUCAAGUUGUUUUAAACCAGUAACGAACACCUGAGACCUCGUUGCUUGUCUGGCAGUCGGACAAGGAUAAUCUAGGUACUCGAGGUUUGGAAGGCAGAAGUGAAGCAGAAGGCAGAAGUGAAGCAGAAGGCAUCAGAUUGUUCCUCUGGCAAGUGGGCUUUUGCAGAUGUGCCAUUUUACAGUGGCUUCCACUUGUUUUCCUUGACAACUUCCUUGAGUGACUGACCCAGCCCCAAUGUGCCUAUCUCCUGUGAAAAAUAAACCAUCAGAUUGGG